CGUUUGGCGCAAUGGAUAGCGCACCGGACUUCUAUCUGAGAGAAAGUGAGGCGACGAAGUUCAUCCGGGGGUUCAGGGUUCGAGUCCCU
RNAcentral lists this transfer RNA (89 nucleotides) under Pelagococcus subviridis. It matches the Rfam family "tRNA", at positions 6 to 62 of the family's 71-position model. From Rfam's summary of the family: Transfer RNA (tRNA) molecules are approximately 80 nucleotides in length. Lineage: Eukaryota; Pelagophyceae; Pelagomonadales; Pelagomonadaceae. The record is from RNAcentral.